Molecule: small RNA, 127 nt
Filed under: Marmota monax (woodchuck)
Lineage: Eukaryota; Metazoa; Chordata; Mammalia; Rodentia; Sciuridae
Source: RNAcentral
GCUGGGCAUGGUGGUGCACACCUGUCAUCCCAGCAGCUUGGGAGGCUGAGGCAGGAGGAUCAUGAAUUCAAAGCCAGCUUCAGCAACUUAGUGAGGCCCUAAGCAUAUCUGUGAGUCCCUGUCUCUA